Molecule: transfer RNA, 73 nt
Filed under: Lachnospiraceae bacterium oral taxon 096
Lineage: Bacteria; Bacillati; Bacillota; Clostridia; Lachnospirales; Lachnospiraceae
Also listed under: 1 other name
Description: tRNA-Thr
Rfam family: tRNA
About the family: Transfer RNA (tRNA) molecules are approximately 80 nucleotides in length.
Source: RNAcentral
GCUUAUAUAGCGCAGUUGGUAGCGCAACUCAUUCGUAAUGAGUAGGUCGCCGGUUCGAGUCCGGCUAUGAGCU